GAUGAACGCUGGCGGCGUGCCUAAUACAUGCAAGUCGAGCGACCAGACGAGGAGCUUGUUCCUCUGACGUUAGCGGCGGACGGGUGAGUAACACGUGGAUAACCUACUUCUAAUACUGGGAUAACUUCGGGAAACCGGAGCUAAUACCGGAUAAUAUAUUGAACGGCAUGGUUCAAUAGUGAAUGACGGUUUUGCUGUCUCUUAUAGAUGGAUUCGCGCCGCAUUAGCUAGUUGGUAAGGUAACGGCUUACCAAGGCAACGAUGCGUAGCCGACCUGAGAGGGUGAUCGGCCACACUGGAACUGAGACACGGUCCAGACUCCUACGGGAGGCAGCAGUAGGGAAUCUUCCGCAAUGGGCGAAAGCUUGACGGAGCAACGCCGCGUGAGUGAUGAAGGUCUUCGGAUCGUAAAACUCUGUUAUUAGGGAAGAACAAAUGUGUAAGUAACUAUGCACGUCUUGACGGUACCUAAUCAGAAAGCCACGGCUAACUACGUG
This 497-nucleotide ribosomal RNA is filed under the name uncultured bacterium. Its description in RNAcentral is "partial 16S ribosomal RNA". It matches the Rfam family "Bacterial small subunit ribosomal RNA", at positions 28 to 507 of the family's 1533-position model. The record is from RNAcentral.